Molecule: long non-coding RNA, 340 nt
Organism: Lonchura striata (white-rumped munia)
Lineage: Eukaryota; Metazoa; Chordata; Aves; Passeriformes; Estrildidae
Source: RefSeq, a predicted model, not a curated record
CCUGGUUGAAGUCAAUGAGUGCUCUUAGUGCACACAAGAAAAUGUAACCCAGUGAGGCUUCCACCUGCCCAGCCCUCAAGGAAAUGUCAGCAGCCACUGAUGGGAAGAGGCCUCCUAACUCAGAGUGAGCCCUGUUUCCCUUUGCAGUGCCUGUUCCAGUGGAAAAUGUGUAUUUUUAAUUAUCUGCUGUCCUUAAUUGAAGAGAUGUGUCCCUGCACUGUAUCAAUGUACUCCUGCUUGUUCCUUGCUUUCUUUUUUCAACCAGGAACCUCGUUGCUGUCUGUGAGCCUUUUGUAACCAAUUCCAAAGCACCUUCAAAGCACACUCAAAUCUUGUCAGC